RNAcentral lists this ribosomal RNA (253 nucleotides) under uncultured bacterium. Its description in RNAcentral is "partial 16S ribosomal RNA". It matches the Rfam family "Bacterial small subunit ribosomal RNA", at positions 524 to 776 of the family's 1533-position model. The record is from RNAcentral.
UACGAAGGGGGCUAGCGUUGCUCGGAAUCACUGGGCGUAAAGCGCACGUAGGCGGAUUGUUAAGUCAGGGGUGAAAUCCUGGAGCUCAACUCCAGAACUGCCUUUGAUACUGGCGAUCUUGAGUCCGGGAGAGGUGAGUGGAACUCCGAGUGUAGAGGUGAAAUUCGUAGAUAUUCGCAAGAACACCAGUGGCGAAGGCGGCUUACUGGACCGGUUCUGACGCUGAGGCGCGAAAGCGUGGGGAGCAAACAGG